RNA transcript from Prunus persica (peach), 1912 nucleotides. It is a transcript of the gene named protein DETOXIFICATION 40, with no coding region annotated. The transcript has 7 exons. NCBI's taxonomy places the organism in Eukaryota, Viridiplantae, Streptophyta, Magnoliopsida, Rosales, Rosaceae. The record is from RefSeq and is a predicted model, not a curated record.
AGAGAUUAUGAGCUGCUCACAGUGGAAGGUAGAGAGAGAGAGAGAGAGAGGAGAGAGAGAGGAGAGAGAGAGCAAGCUAUCAUGGAGCCUUCUAGUGAUAACGAGCCCUCUGAGCCCCUCUUGCUUUCCAAAUCAUCUUCGAUGCAUAUAGUGAGCCGUGAACUGGAAGACACACUAAACAACACUGAACUCUCAUACUUCCAGCGCCUCCGAACCGGCACAUGGCUUGAGCUGAAGAUCCUCUUCCGCCUGGCAGCUCCGGCGGUGGUGGUUUACUUGCUCAACAAUGUCAUAUCCAUGUCCACCCAAAUCUUCUGUGGCCAUCUUGGCAACCUUGAACUCGCUGCCUCCUCUCUUGGCAACACUGGCAUUCAAGUUUUCGCCUAUGGCCUCAUGCUUGGUAUGGGUAGUGCAGUGGAGACACUGUGUGGUCAAGCCUAUGGUGCACAUAAGUACGACAUGCUAGGCAUAUAUAUGCAGCGAUCGACAAUCCUCCUCCUAGCAACUAGCAUCCCACUGAUGAUAAUUUACAUCUUCUGCAAGCAAAUCUUGUUAGGCCUAGGUGAAUCAGCCUCCAUUGCUGCCGCGGCAGCGAUCUUUGUCUACGGUCUCAUCCCUCAAAUCUUUGCCUACGCCUGCAACUUCCCCAUACAAAAGUUCCUCCAAGCCCAGAGCAUAGUGUUCCCUAGCGCCUACAUAUCGCUGGGGGCACUGGUAGUGCACAUAGUGCUAAGUUGGGUGGUGGUGUACAAAUUGGGAGGGGGCCUGUUGGGCGCCGCGUUGAUUUUGAGUUUUUCGUGGUGGAUUAUAGUGGUGGCGCAAUUUGUUUACAUAUUGUGGACGCCAAGGUGCAAACGCACAUGGAGAGGGUUUAGCAUCAGGGCAUUUUCUGGGCUGUGGGGCUUUUUGAAAUUGUCUGUGGCAUCUGCCGUCAUGCUUUGCCUGGAGACUUGGUACUAUCAAAUUAUAGUUUUGCUGGCUGGGUUGCUUAAAAAUGCUGAAAUUGCAUUGGACGCUCUCUCUAUUUGCAUGACCAUAACUGGAUGGGUCUUCAUGAUUGCUGUGGGGUUCAAUGCUGCUGCAAGUGUGAGGAUUGGAAAUGAGCUUGGGGCAGGACAUCCAAAAUCGGCAGCAUUUGCAGUGGUGGUGGUGACUUCAAGCUCCUUCAUCAUAUCGGCGGUGUGCGCCAUAAUUGUGCUUGUUUUACGACAUGAUAUAAGUUAUGUGUUCACUGAGGGAGAAACAGUCUCCAAUGCCGUCUCAGACCUUUCCCCGUACCUAGCCAUAUCUAUCGUUCUCAAUGGCAUCCAACCUGUUUUGUCUGGAUUCUAUAUUUUGGGCCAAAAACAAAAGGAGUGGCUGUCGGGUGCGGAUGGCAAGCAUUUGUGGCAUAUGUUAACGUGGGAUGUUACUACAUCAUUGGGAUCCCAUUGGGUUGCCUUCUUGGAUUCAAGUUCGAUUUCGGAGCUCAGGGAAUAUGGACUGGCAUGAUAGGAGGCACUUUUAUACAGACAAUCAUCUUACUGUGGGUCACAUAUCGGACUGACUGGAACAAAGAGGUUGAAAAAGCACAGAGUCGUUUGGACACUUACGAGGACAAGAAGGAUUCCGAUGAUGAAGUGCUGACCAAUUAGUCGAGUUUUCAACUUGCUCUUUUCUUUUUUCUCUGGCGGACGUCGGGGAGGUUACAUGAGUUUUGCUUGCUUUUUACGUGCAUGGAAAGUUUUGCAUUAUUGUAAUAACGUUCCUUUCCUUGAUUAGGAAGGAAGUCCAAAAAUAUUUUAAACUUGAUGAGGAGGAGAAAGGGUUUAUUUUGUGGCUGGUCUGUUUUGUUGUAUUAGGCUGCCCUCAUCUUGUCAUUUUGGGCCAACCUGCUUAUAUCAAAUCCAAGAAUUGCAGUUGGUCUGUUUUA